RNAcentral lists this ribosomal RNA (440 nucleotides) under uncultured bacterium. RNAcentral's name for it is "partial 16S ribosomal RNA". It matches the Rfam family "Bacterial small subunit ribosomal RNA", at positions 338 to 795 of the family's 1533-position model. The record is from RNAcentral.
CCUACGGGAGGCUGCAGUAGGGAAUAUUGCUCAAUGGGGGAAACCCUGAAGCAGCAACGCCGCGUGGAGGAUGAAGGUUUUCGGAUUGUCAACUCCUUUUGUUAGAGAAGAUAAUGACGGUAUCUAACGAAUAAGCACCGGCUAACUCCGUGCCAGCCACCGCGGUAAUACGGAAGGUGCAAGCGUUACUCGGAAUCCCUGGGCGUAAAGGGGGCGUAGGCGGGAUAGCAAGUUCGAUGUGAAAUCCUAUGGCCUAACCAUAGAACUGCAUUUGAAACUGUUAGUCUAGAGUAUGGGAGAGGCAGGUGGAAUUCGUGGUGUAGGGGUAAAAUCCGUAGAGAUCAAGAGGAACACUCAUUGCGAAGGCGACCUGCCAGAACAUAACUGACGCUGAUGCGCGAAGGCGUGGGGAGCAAACAGGAUUAGAUACCCCUGUAGUC